AUUGAACGCUGGCGGCAUGCCUUACACAUGCAAGUCGAACGGCAGCACGGGUGCUUGCACCUGGUGGCGAGUGGCGAACGGGUGAGUAAUAUAUCGGAACGUACCUUAUUGUGGGGGAUAACGCAGCGAAAGCUGUGCUAAUACCGCAUAAUCCCUUAGGGGGAAAGCGGGGGACCGUAGGGCCUCGCGCAAUUAGAGCGGCCGAUACCUGAUUAGCUAGUUGGUGAGGUAAAGGCUCACCAAGGCGACGAUCAGUAGCUGGUCUGAGAGGCCGGUCAGGCAAACUGGGACUGAGACACGGCCCAGACGCCUGCGGGAGGCAGCAGUGGGGAAUUUUGGACAAUGGGGGCAACCCUGAUCCAGCAAUGCCGCGUGAGUGAAGAAGGCCUUCGGGUUGUAAAGCUCUUUUGUCAGGGAAGAAACAGCAGCUCUAACACAGUAUGCGAAUGACGGUACCUGAAGAAUAAGCACCGGCUAACUACGUGCCAGCCGCCGCGGUAA
RNAcentral lists this ribosomal RNA (501 nucleotides) under uncultured bacterium. RNAcentral's name for it is "partial 16S ribosomal RNA". It matches the Rfam family "Bacterial small subunit ribosomal RNA", at positions 30 to 523 of the family's 1533-position model. The record is from RNAcentral.